GCUAGCGUAGCUUACCUAAAGCAUGACACUGAAAAUGUUAAGAUAGACAUUAAUAAAUCUCGCAAGCA
This 68-nucleotide transfer RNA is filed under the name Eurycea cirrigera (southern two-lined salamander). Its description in RNAcentral is "tRNA-Phe". It matches the Rfam family "tRNA". Rfam says of the family: Transfer RNA (tRNA) molecules are approximately 80 nucleotides in length. Their secondary structure includes four short double-helical elements and three loops (D, anti-codon, and T loops). Further hydrogen bonds mediate the characteristic L-shaped molecular structure. tRNAs have two regions of fundamental functional importance: the anti-codon, which is responsible for specific mRNA codon recognition, and the 3' end, to which the tRNAs corresponding amino acid is attached (by aminoacyl-tRNA synthetases). tRNAs cope with the degeneracy of the genetic code in two manners: having more than one tRNA (with a specific anti-codon) for a particular amino acid; and 'wobble' base-pairing, i.e. permitting non-standard base-pairing at the 3rd anti-codon position. Lineage: Eukaryota; Metazoa; Chordata; Amphibia; Caudata; Plethodontidae. The record is from RNAcentral.